UACAUGUGGGGCAAGCGUUGUCCGGAAUUAUUGGGCGUAAAGAGCUCGUAGGCGGUGUGUCGCGUCGGCCGUGAAAACCUGGGGCUUAACUCUGGGCGUGCGGUCGAUACGGGCAUCACUGGAGUUCGGCAGGGGAGACUGGAAUUCCUGGUGUAGCGGUGAAAUGCGCAGAUAUCAGGAGGAACACCGGUGGCGAAGGCGGGUCUCUGGGCCGAUACUGACGCUGAGGAGCGAAAGCAUGGGUAGCGAACAGG
Molecule: ribosomal RNA, 254 nt
Filed under: uncultured bacterium
Lineage: Bacteria
Description: partial 16S ribosomal RNA
Rfam family: Bacterial small subunit ribosomal RNA
Source: RNAcentral